CAAAUUAUAGCUUAUAUAAAGUAUUUUAUUUACAUUAAAAUGAAAAUUUUUAAAUUUAAUUUGA
RNAcentral lists this transfer RNA (64 nucleotides) under Staphylinoidea sp. 7 KM-2017. Its description in RNAcentral is "tRNA-Val". Lineage: Eukaryota; Metazoa; Arthropoda; Insecta; Coleoptera. The record is from RNAcentral.